This 357-nucleotide long non-coding RNA is filed under the name Mytilus galloprovincialis (Mediterranean mussel). Lineage: Eukaryota; Metazoa; Mollusca; Bivalvia; Mytilida; Mytilidae. The record is from RNAcentral.
ACCAGAUAGACAUUUUCACCUUUCAAUCAUUCAAUACCCCAAAUAUAGUUGACCAAUUCCUUAAAGUAUCUGAUAAAAGGACAAAACAAUGAGUACUUAACAUUGACCAAUGAAAAAAGGAAAUUGAGGUUAAGUUCAGAUGAAACUUGCCAGUUGGACAUGUACAUAUUGUCAUCAUUCAAUAAACAAAAUCGACUUGAGCACGAAAACUAAACACUGAUCACUCAUACAAUGAGUUCGAGGACAGAAAAGUCAUGUUUGAUGGAUAUGAACCAUGAAUAAAAGAGGUCAAUGACAAUCGAGAUAAGACGGAUGGAAACUUUAAACAAAAGGCAUUUAACAUCCAGGUCUUCUUCC